RNAcentral lists this ribosomal RNA (898 nucleotides) under human gut metagenome. RNAcentral's name for it is "bacterial SSU rRNA". It matches the Rfam family "Bacterial small subunit ribosomal RNA", at positions 501 to 1396 of the family's 1533-position model. The record is from RNAcentral.
CUACGUGCCAGCAGCCGCGGUAAUACGUAGGGUGCAAGCGUUAUCCGGAAUUAUUGGGCGUAAAGGGCUCGUAGGCGGUUCGUCGCGUCCGGUGUGAAAGUCCAUCGCUUAACGGUGGAUCCGCGCCGGGUACGGGCGGGCUUGAGUGCGGUAGGGGAGACUGGAAUUCCCGGUGUAACGGUGGAAUGUGUAGAUAUCGGGAAGAACACCAAUGGCGAAGGCAGGUCUCUGGGCCGUCACUGACGCUGAGGAGCGAAAGCGUGGGGAGCGAACAGGAUUAGAUACCCUGGUAGUCCACGCCGUAAACGGUGGAUGCUGGAUGUGGGGACCAUUCCACGGUCUCCGUGUCGGAGCCAACGCGUUAAGCAUCCCGCCUGGGGAGUACGGCCGCAAGGCUAAAACUCAAAGAAAUUGACGGGGGCCCGCACAAGCGGCGGAGCAUGCGGAUUAAUUCGAUGCAACGCGAAGAACCUUACCUGGGCUUGACAUGUUCCCGACAGCCGUAGAGAUACGGUCUCCCUUCGGGGCGGGUUCACAGGUGGUGCAUGGUCGUCGUCAGCUCGUGUCGUGAGAUGUUGGGUUAAGUCCCGCAACGAGCGCAACCCUCGCCCUGUGUUGCCAGCACGUCGUGGUGGGAACUCACGGGGGACCGCCGGGGUCAACUCGGAGGAAGGUGGGGAUGACGUCAGAUCAUCAUGCCCCUUACGUCCAGGGCUUCACGCAUGCUACAAUGGCCGGUACAACGGGAUGCGACACCGCGAGGUGGAGCGGAUCCCUUAAAACCGGUCUCAGUUCGGAUUGGAGUCUGCAACCCGACUCCAUGAAGGCGGAGUCGCUAGUAAUCGCGGAUCAGCAACGCCGCGGUGAAUGCGUUCCCGGGCCUUGUACACACCGCCCG